CGGCGCGAGAAUCGAAGCACAAGCACGCAGAUGCAGAUGGAGGCCAUUUCGCUAAAUUGGCAGAGAUGAACCAGCCUUGAAGAUGGCUCUGCCUCCACCACAAAACCGAGAUCAGUCACGCAUUCUCAACACCAACAACACACUCAUUCUUAUUCACGAUUGAAUUUGGCCUUCCAUCUUCCGUUUGGUUUUUCAGCUGUUCAGCGACACACUAUCUCAAACCCAAUCGGCACAGUGAAAUACGUUGACAGCACUUCUGGUGUGACACUAAAAAGGCAGGGUUGAUGUCAACACAGUGGAUGUGGGUGGGACACAAAUACAAAAGGUCUCAUGAUAA
Molecule: small RNA, 337 nt
Filed under: Vigna angularis var. angularis
Lineage: Eukaryota; Viridiplantae; Streptophyta; Magnoliopsida; Fabales; Fabaceae
Description: Non-protein coding transcript
Source: RNAcentral